CACAGGUGCUGCAUGGCUGUCGUCAGCUCGUGUCGUGAGAUGUUGGGUUAAGUCCCGCAACGAGCGCAACCCUUGUCAUUAGUUUGCUACAUUCAGUUGGGCACUCUAAUGAGACUGCCGGUGACAAGCCGGAGGAAGGUGGGGAUGACGUCAAGUCCUCAUGGCCCUUAUAGGUGGGGCUACACACGUCAUACAAUGGCUGGUACAAAGGGUUGCCAACCCGCGAGGGGGAGCUAAUCCCAUAAAGCCAGUCGUAGUCCGGAUCGUAGUCUGCAACUCGACUACGUGAAGUCGGAAUCGCUAGUAAUCGUGGAUCAGAAUGUCACGGUGAAUACGUUCCCGGGUCUU
This 348-nucleotide ribosomal RNA is filed under the name uncultured Rhodoferax sp. RNAcentral's name for it is "bacterial SSU rRNA". It matches the Rfam family "Bacterial small subunit ribosomal RNA", at positions 1033 to 1382 of the family's 1533-position model. Lineage: Bacteria; Pseudomonadati; Pseudomonadota; Betaproteobacteria; Burkholderiales; Comamonadaceae. The record is from RNAcentral.